RNAcentral lists this long non-coding RNA (1520 nucleotides) under Homo sapiens (human). RNAcentral describes it as "MIR4435-2 host gene". Lineage: Eukaryota; Metazoa; Chordata; Mammalia; Primates; Hominidae. The record is from RNAcentral.
AGUCGUGUGUACAUCAUUGGGAAUGGAGGGAAAUAAAUGACUGGAUGGUCGCUGCUUUUUAAGUUUCAAAUUGACAUUCCAGACAAGCGGUGCCUGAGCCCGUGCCUGUCUUCAGAUCUUCACAGCACAGUUCCUGGGAAGGUGGAGCCACCAGCCUCUCCCUGACAAGCAAAGUGGAUCAGCAAAGGCUGCAGUCACCAGCAUCUUUUCCAACCUUAAUGAACUGUAUCCUCAAAAGAACACUAUCAGACUGGCUCUGCCGACUUCCAGUUCUGGAACAAGAUGGUUAAACUCAUUUUUCCCUGCUCUGCUCCUCUAAAUACAACUAAGUACCUUGGAAACUAUUCAGCAGACAAUGAUAAAGGGCUCUGAAAGCUAGAAGAAAAGGUGUACUUGCAAGAAACCUCAGGACUUGAGUAACAGCAACAUGGCAGGCCAGAAAGCAGACCCAGGGAGGAUAGCACAUGUCUUCGGCUACACUGGUGAAGGCAUCGUGCCUGCUCCACAGCACAUUUUUAUUCAAGAUGUGUACCAUGUGAUGGCCAAGGGAGCUUCAUCAAUCAUGGCAUCUCAAGGGAGCUGGAGCAGAUGAGGAGGAGAUGGAGGUCCCAGGAAGGGCUGUGAUCUGCCUGGGGUCCCACAAUGGGAAACAGAACAAUCCAUUUCACAGAUGAAGAAACAGACUCAGUGAGCACGUGAUCACUUCUCACAACUAAUGGAGCCAAGAUUCUGUCCUUAUGGCUCCAGAGACCUCUUUUUUUUCCCACUGUACCACAACACUCACCAGGACUGGAGUGCCACCUAUGACCUCAUUGCAUAAUGGAUGGCUUGUCCUCAAAUGGGCCCGGUCUUGGACGAGCCUGAGGAUGUCUACAAGUGGAAGAAAAGAAGCCACUGGAGCAGAAGGUGGGGAGGAUAAAAUUUGGAGCAAGAUUCUCAAGGAAGCAACAAGAUCCUAAGAUCUUGUUCUCACUAGAGAAUAAUUUCUACAUUAUGCCCAGGUUCUUCUGAGCUAUGAAGGGGCCCAGAUUUAAGGGCUAUUUUUGACACCCUAAAUGUGCUGAGACAAGUCAUUAAGGUGGUCCUGCCAGGACACAGCCAUCUAAAGCAGCAAUCUGCUUCUUGCCAGAAAAUCUCGUGCCUCUGCAGAGCCUUUUCCAGAAUGAACCACACCAUGCUGAGGAAAGGAGAAAGAGACUACCUACUGCAUUUCUGUCACUCGCUGAAAAGGACACUCUGUCAGAAAAUCUUCUAGCAAACUUCAAAGGGCAAAAUCACCCCUUGUUACUGAUAAAGCCCAGAGAGCUUCAGCAGCUAACAUUCCCUGGACAGGGCACAGCAAGGAUUUGAACCUAGGUCAGUCUGGCCAGAACACCCACAAGCUUUCCUUAACUCAGUGUGCUAUCUCCCCACGACUAGGUCACUACUGCUUUAUAAUCACCUUUGUAGCCACCAGUGGAUUUUGCUCAUCAGUAUUUUUCAGGCAAUUGAUACUUUAGAUAUUCAGCUGCAAGACGUAU